Molecule: ribosomal RNA, 773 nt
Filed under: uncultured Neocallimastigales
Lineage: Eukaryota; Fungi; Neocallimastigomycota; Neocallimastigomycetes; Neocallimastigales
Description: partial large subunit ribosomal RNA
Rfam family: Eukaryotic large subunit ribosomal RNA
Source: RNAcentral
UACUAGAGUAGCACUCGCAUAUCAAUAAGCGGAGGAAAAGAAACUAACAAGGAUUCCCCUAGUAACGGCGAGUGAAGCGGGAAGAGCUCAAAUUUGAAAUCUUAAAGGGUUUCCCUUUACGAAUUGUAGUUUAAAGAAGUGUUUUCUGUUGAGGUUUUGGUAAAAGUUCUUUGGAAUAGGACAUCAUAGAGGGUGAGAAUCCCGUAUUUGACCUUUACUUUCAACUUUGUGAUACACUUUCAAAGAGUCGGAUUGUUUGGGAAUGCAGUCCAAAAUGGGUGGUAAAUUUCAUCUAAAGCUAAAUAUUGGCGAGAGACCGAUAGCGAACAAGUACCGUGAGGGAAAGAUGAAAAGAACUUUGAAAAGAGAGUUAAACAGUACGUGAAAUUGUCAAAAGGGAAGCGUUUGACACCAGUGUUGUUUUUCUGAAAUCAAUUAAAGAACUGUUUAUGCUAAGUUGUUUAGACUUUAUCAGCUAACUGUUUAGUUUUGAGCUUUUCUUUAAUGCACUUUUCAGUUAACAAGUCAACAUCAAUUUCUUUUGCUGUAAAAAAGCUUGAGGAAGGUGGCUUGAGAUUCGUCUUAAGUGUUUAUAGCCUCUUGCCUAUGCAGUCGGAGAGAUUGAGGUCUGCAGCGUAGAUCCUUCGGGGCUAAAUGCAUUUGUGCUAAGUUAUAGCAUUUUAUAGACAACUUGUUGACUAUGAUUUGUCUUGUAGCUUACUCGCUUAUGUUAUUUUACCUACGCUUAGGAUGUUGAGCGCAUGUCUCUCUCU